UGGGGAAUUUUGGACAAUGGGCGAAAGCCUGAUCCAGCAAUGCCGCGUGUGUGAAGAAGGCCUUCGGGUUGUAAAGCACUUUUGUCCGGAAAGAAAUCCUUGGCUCUAAUACAGUCGGGGGAUGACGGUACCGGAAGAAUAAGCACCGGCUAACUACGUGCCAGCAGCCGCGGUAAUACGUAGGGUGCAAGCGUUAAUCGGAAUUACUGGGCGUAAAGCGUGCGCAGGCGGUUUGCUAAGACCGAUGUGAAAUCCCCGGGCUCAACCUGGGAACUGCACUGGUGACUGGCAGGCUAGAGUAUGGCAGAGGGGGGUAGAAUUCCACGUGUAGCAGUGAAAUGCGUAGAGAUGUGGAGGAAUACCGAUGGCGAAGGCAGCCCCCUGGGCCAAUACUGACGCUCAUGCACGAAAAGGCGUGGGGGAGCAAACAGGAUUAGAUACCCUGGUAGUCCACGCCCUAAAACGAUGUCAACUAGUUGUUGGGGAUUCAUUUCCUUAGUAACGUAGCUAACGCGUGAAGUUGACCGCCUGGGGGAGUACGGGUCGCAAGAUU
This 553-nucleotide ribosomal RNA is filed under the name uncultured bacterium. RNAcentral describes it as "partial 16S ribosomal RNA". It matches the Rfam family "Bacterial small subunit ribosomal RNA", at positions 355 to 895 of the family's 1533-position model. The record is from RNAcentral.